This is a small RNA of Legionella shakespearei DSM 23087, 82 nucleotides long. It matches the Rfam family "Legionella RNA 69". The record is from Rfam. Lineage: Bacteria; Pseudomonadati; Pseudomonadota; Gammaproteobacteria; Legionellales; Legionellaceae.
AGACAGCGCUAUCGCGCUUCCUCAGCCCGAACGGCAUCGAAGUAAACACUGGCUCAAACAACUUUCUUAUCCGAAACUCACG